Gadus morhua (Atlantic cod) is the source of this 137-nucleotide small nucleolar RNA. Lineage: Eukaryota; Metazoa; Chordata; Actinopteri; Gadiformes; Gadidae. The record is from Ensembl.
GCAGGCACCUACCCAAGCUGUCCAUGCUUCUUCUGUAGCGACGGACAGCCAUCAGGUUGCCAUACAUAAUAACUUUCACUGACGGUCGCUGUUUGGUUCCUUAAUACCUUUCAGCAACAUAUAGGGGAAGAACAAAG